RNAcentral lists this ribosomal RNA (1270 nucleotides) under metagenome. RNAcentral describes it as "bacterial LSU rRNA". It matches the Rfam family "Bacterial large subunit ribosomal RNA", at positions 1673 to 2925 of the family's 2925-position model. The record is from RNAcentral.
CUAGAAUACCAAGGCGCUUGAGAGAACUCGGGUGAAGGAACUAGGCAAAAUGGCACCGUAACUUCGGGAGAAGGUGCGCCGGUGAGGGUGAAGCAUUUACUGCGUAAGCCCAUGCCGGUCGAAGAUACCAGGCCGCUGCGACUGUUUAUUAAAAACACAGCACUCUGCAAACACGAAAGUGGACGUAUAGGGUGUGACGCCUGCCCGGUGCCGGAAGGUUAAUUGAUGGGGUUAGCUAACGCGAAGCUCUUGAUCGAAGCCCCGGUAAACGGCGGCCGUAACAAUAACGGUCCUAAGGUAGCGAAAUUCCUUGUCGGGUAAGUUCCGACCUGCACGUAUGGCGUAACGAUGGCGGCGCUGUCUCCACCCGAGACUCAGUGAAAUUGAAAUCGCUGUGAAGAUGCAGUGUAUCCGCGGCUAGACGGAAAGACCCCGUGAACCUUUACUAUAGCUUUGCACUGGACUUUGAAUUUGCUUGUGUAGGAUAGGUGGGAGGCUUUGAAGCGUGGACGCCAGUUCGCGUGGAGCCAACCUUGAAAUACCACCCUGGCAACUUUGAGGUUCUAACUCAGGUCCGUUAUCCGGAUCGAGGACAGUGUAUGGUGGGUAGUUUGACUGGGGCGGUCUCCUCCUAAAGAGUAACGGAGGAGUACGAAGGUGCGCUCAGACCGGUCGGAAAUCGGUCGUAGAGUAUAAAGGCAAAAGCGCGCUUGACUGCGAGACAGACACGUCGAGCAGGUACGAAAGUAGGUCUUAGUGAUCCGGUGGUUCUGUAUGGAAGGGCCAUCGCUCAACGGAUAAAAGGUACUCCGGGGAUAACAGGCUGAUACCGCCCAAGAGUUCAUAUCGACGGCGGUGUUUGGCACCUCGAUGUCGGCUCAUCACAUCCUGGGGCUGAAGCCGGUCCCAAGGGUAUGGCUGUUCGCCAUUUAAAGUGGUACGCGAGCUGGGUUUAGAACGUCGUGAGACAGUUCGGUCCCUAUCUGCCGUGGACGUUUGAGAUUUGAGAGGGGCUGCUCCUAGUACGAGAGGACCGGAGUGGACGAACCUCUGGUGUUCCGGUUGUCACGCCAGUGGCAUUGCCGGGUAGCUAUGUUCGGAAUAGAUAACCGCUGAAAGCAUCUAAGCGGGAAACUAGCCUCAAGAUGAGAUCUCACUGGGACCUUGAGUCCCCUGAAGGGCCGUCGAAGACUACGACGUUGAUAGGUUGGGUGUGUAAGCGCUGUGAGGCGUUGAGCUAACCAAUACUAAUUGCCCGUGAGGCUUGACC